RNAcentral lists this ribosomal RNA (492 nucleotides) under uncultured bacterium. RNAcentral's name for it is "partial 16S ribosomal RNA". It matches the Rfam family "Bacterial small subunit ribosomal RNA", at positions 29 to 507 of the family's 1533-position model. The record is from RNAcentral.
AGUGAACGCUGGCGGUAGGCCUAACACAUGCAAGUCGAACGGCAGCACAGUAAGAGCUUGCUCUUACGGGUGGCGAGUGGCAGACGGGUGAGGAAUACAUUGGAAUCUACUUUUUCGUGGGGGAUAACGUAGGGAAACUUACGCUAAUACCGCAUACGACCUACGGGUGAAAGCAGGGGAUCUUCGGACCUUGCGCGAUUGAAUGAGCCGAUGUCGGAUUAGCUAGUUGGCGGGGUAAAGGCCCACCAAGGCGACGAUCCGUAGCUGGUCUGAGAGGAUGAUCAGCCACACUGGAACUGAGACACGGUCCAGACUCCUACGGGAGGCAGCAGUGGGGAAUAUUGGACAAUGGGCGCAAGCCUGAUCCAGCCAUACCGCGUGGGUGAAGAAGGCCUUCGGGUUGUAAAGCCCUUUUGUUGGGAAAGAAAAGCAGCAGGUUAAUACCCCGCUGUUCUGACGGUACCCAAAGAAUAAGCACCGGCUAACUUCGUG